Molecule: transfer RNA, 87 nt
Filed under: Salmonella enterica subsp. enterica
Lineage: Bacteria; Pseudomonadati; Pseudomonadota; Gammaproteobacteria; Enterobacterales; Enterobacteriaceae
Description: tRNA-Thr
Source: RNAcentral
GCUGAUGAUAUAGCUCAGUUGGUAGAGCGCACCCUUGGUAAGGAGUGAGGUCGGCGGAAGUUCGGGGUAUCUGCCUAUCCAGCACCA